GUGGGGAAUAUUGGACAAUGGGCGAAAGCCUGAUCCAGCCAUGCCGCGUGUGUGAAGAAGGUCUUCGGAUUGUAAAGCACUUUAAGUUGGGAGGAAGGGCAGUAAGUUAAUACCUUGCUGUUUUGACGUUACCGACAGAAUAAGCACCGGCUAACUUCGUGCCAGCAGCCGCGGUAAUACGAAGGGUGCAAUCGUUAAUCGGAAUUACUGGGCGUAAAGCGCGCGUAGGUGGUUCAGUAAGUUGGAAGUGAAAACCCCGGGCUCAACCUGGGAACUGCUUUCAAAACUGCUGAGCUAGAGUACGGUAGAGGGUGGUGGAAUUUACUGUGUAGCGGUGAAAUGCGUAGAUAUAGGAAGGAACACCAGUGGCGAAGGCGACCACCUGGACUGAUACUGACACUGAGGUGCGAAAGCGUGGGGAGCAAACAGGAUUAGAUACCCUAGUAGUCC
Molecule: ribosomal RNA, 450 nt
Filed under: uncultured bacterium
Lineage: Bacteria
Description: partial 16S ribosomal RNA
Rfam family: Bacterial small subunit ribosomal RNA
Source: RNAcentral